CUAGCACAUUUCAGGAGAUAGUCAGUUCCCCAACGGAUGUUCUCACGUGCGUUUUUGAGCUCAGGACCCAUCCGCUUACCGUACUCAAGCGUGCUCCAUGAAAGCAUAGUGGUGGUAAACGCCAUUGGGAAGUUGAACUUGAUGUUAUCUCCCGCGUCGUAAUACCCACCAGGUGUACAUGAGCGGUUGAACCAUCAGAAAGGCCGGAGCUAGCCCUCCAGGAGACUUGCUGGUCUCUAGGGAGACGACCUGAUCGCUGACCUUGGAAGAAGAGCAAUGACUUGGAGAGUGCUUCUCUGUAAUUUGGAUUAGCUUCAACAUUUCUCGUGAGAAUAGGCGAGGAAAGGAGAACUAAAAAGAACAGAGAAGUCAUUGUCCAAAGACGGAGAAGUUGAGUACUUUAUGAGUUUUGAGGUACGAAUCUAUGAUGUGAAGGUCCACAUAUUUAUAUACAGGGAAAGUGUGAGAGAGAGGGAUUUGAUCCGGCGCUGAUGGAAGCGAUGAAUACGGCUUUUUGGGAGAAAGUGGCCUUAAUUAACCUUAAUUUCUCCAAUCUAAACCUUUUUCUGGUUAAAUUGUUAGAUUAAUUUAUCCGACCAAGUCCCCUUUUUCUUUAUCUGUCUACUGAUUACCUUAUAUGUUUAUCCAUUUAAAUUCCUCUUUUUAAUGUCAGCUGAAUGUUUUCGUAAAAUGUUGAAAAAUAGAGAAUUUUAUGACGGAAAAUGGAAUAAAACUAGGUUUGCCAUUAGUAGGAAAUGGAAUUAAGGCUUAACGGUCUCCUGUUUCCUAAGAAGCAAGUAGUAGUAUUUGUUUAAAAACCGGUACAUGAAUUACGGAAAUAUUUGAUCAAAAAAAAAAAAAAAAAUUACGGAAAUAUAAACGCACGUUAAGACUUUGCGUCUGCCUGAACGUUACACUGUGAUGGUCAAAAGCCAAAUUCAAAAGUGGGGUUGUUUAAUAAGAUUAUUGAUUUUAGGGAGAUUUGUGAAGUAAAGUAUUAUAUCAUUAUAUUGUUUGAUACUGUAUAUUUUUUGAUAAUAAUAAAGAGGCUAUUGACCCGUAGAUCUGAAUAUUUCGUUAGAACGAAGUUUAAACCAUAUAAUUUAAUAUCUAGUAGGGGAGUAUAUUUCUCCUGAACAUGAGCAGCCUUAUAUUACAAAAUGAUAGUAUAACCAGUGCUAUAUCUGUUAUUUUUAUAUGAUGCUUAGAGCAACCACAACGCUGUAUUUAUCGAAUCCUUAAGCCCAAAUUCUUAUGGGUUUUCGAUUUUAAUAAUAAUAAAUGGGCUCGGGUUAAGAAGGAUUAAUCCUUAUGGAAGAGGUUUUCGAUACCCAAUCCUUAUCGACGUGGCAAACGAAGCCGGUAUAAUCUCGAGUUAUUUUGUCGUCAAAAAAUCAUUCGGUCACGAAAAAAAAAAGUUCUGAUUCCUCGUAAGGCGAUUCCGAUCCUCGGUGUAGAUCAGCUAAAAUCAGUGGCUUCCUCUCUUGAUUCGUAGGUUUAUUCGAUUAGGGUUUCUUCUUGGGGAGCUUGCAUGUCGAUUUCAAUGUGAUUUCGAUUUAAUUGAAAAUAUUUGGAACAAAUUUGGGGAUGAAAAUUAAUAAUUAUUGUAAUUUUAUAUGUUUAAUCAUGUAAUAAAUAAAUAUAAAAAAAUUAUCUUAUUUUUCCAUGUUUUAAAAUUUAUUAAUUUUUUAUUCUUACGGAUUCCAUUCCUGGUAACACCAUUGGACAUACAAAUUUUAUUAGAAUCCUAAACUCUUAAAAAAAAAAUAGUAAAAUAUAUAUUUAAAGACUCCAAUAGUGGAAACACCAUUGGAGAUGCUCUUACAUUAUAUUUUCACUUUUAUAAAAAGAAAAUCAGAAGAGACUCAAGUUAUACUACCAUUUAUGAAAUAAAA
This is a long non-coding RNA of Brassica rapa (field mustard), 1895 nucleotides long. RefSeq lists it as uncharacterized. The record is from RefSeq and is a predicted model, not a curated record. NCBI's taxonomy places the organism in Eukaryota, Viridiplantae, Streptophyta, Magnoliopsida, Brassicales, Brassicaceae.